ACGAACGCUGGCGGCGUGCUUAACCCCUGCCAGUCGAACGGUGAAGCUCCAGCUUGCUGGAGUGGAUCAGUGGCGAACGGGUGAGUAACACGUGAGCAGCCUGCCCCUGACUCUGGAAUAAGCGCUGGAAACGGCGUCUAAUACUGGAUACGAGAAGGGUCCGCAUGGGCACUUUCUGGAAAGUUUUUCGGUUGGGGAUGGGCUCGCGGCCUAUCAGCUUGUUGGUGAGGUAAUGGCUCACCAAGGCGACGACGGGUAGCCGGCCUGAGAGGGCGACCGGCCACACUGGGACUGAGACACGGCCCAGACUCCUACGGGAGGCAGCAGUGGGGAAUAUUGCACAAUGGGCGAAAGCCUGAUGCAGCGACGCCGCGUGAGGGAUGACGGCCUUCGGGUUGUAAACCUCUUUCAGCAGGGAAGAAGCGAAAGUGACGGUACCUGCAGAAGAAGCACCAGCUAACUACGUG
This 467-nucleotide ribosomal RNA is filed under the name uncultured bacterium. RNAcentral describes it as "partial 16S ribosomal RNA". It matches the Rfam family "Bacterial small subunit ribosomal RNA", at positions 29 to 507 of the family's 1533-position model. The record is from RNAcentral.